Molecule: ribosomal RNA, 443 nt
Filed under: uncultured bacterium
Lineage: Bacteria
Description: partial 16S ribosomal RNA
Rfam family: Bacterial small subunit ribosomal RNA
Source: RNAcentral
CCUACGGGUGGCAGCAGUGGGGAAUAUUGGGCAAUGGAGGCUACUCUGACCCAGCAACGCCGCGUGAGUGAUGAAGGUCUUCGGAUUGUAAAACUCUUUAAGUGGGGACGAAGAAAGUGACUGUACCCACAGAAUAAGCCUCUGCUAACUACGUGCCAGCAGCCGCGGUACUACGUCGGAGGCAAGCGUUAUCCGGUAUGACUGGGCGUAAAGGGUGCGGAGGUGGUUUGACAAGUUAGUAGCGUAAUUCCGGGGCUCAACGUAGGAACUACUACUAAAACUUUUGGGCUUGAGUGCAGGAGAGGUGAAUGGAAUUCCUAGUGUAGCGGUGGAAUGCGUAGAUAUUAGGAGGAACACCAGUGGCGAAGGCGAUUCACUGGACUGUAACUGACACUGAGGCACGAAAGCGUGGGGAGCAAACAGGAUUAGAUACCCGAGUAGUC